CUAAGAAAAUGAACUGCUGCGGACAUGUCAAGCGGAAGAAGGGAGCUUGCUCCCCGAGGUUAGCGGCUGACCGGCGAGUAACACGUGGGUAACCUGCCUUUAAGACUGGGAUAACUCCGGGAAACCGGAGCUAAUGCCGGAUAGUUCCUUGAACCGCACGGUUCAAGGAUGAAAGACGGUUUCGGCUGUCACUUAAAGAUGGACCCGCGGCGCAUUAGCUAGUUGGUGAGGUAACGGCUCACCAAGGCGACGAUGCGUAGCCGACCUGAGAGGGUGAUCGGCCACACUGGGACUGAGACACGGCCCAGACUCCUACGGGAGGCAGCAGUAGGGAAUCUUCCGCAAUGGACGAAAGUCUGACGGAGCAACGCCGCGUGAGUGAUGAAGGUUUUCGGAUCGUAAAGCUCUGUUGUUAGGGAAGAACAAGUGCAAGAGUAACUGCUUGCACCUUGACGGUACCUAACCAGAAAGCCACGGCUAACUACGUGCCAGCAGCCGCGGUAAUACGUAGGUGGCAAGCGUUGUCCGGAAUUAUUGGGCGUAAAGGGCUCGCAGGCGGUUUCUUAAGUCUGAUGUGAAAGCCCCCGGCUCAACCGGGGAGGGUCAUUGGAAACUGGGAAACUUGAGUGCACAAGAGAGAGUGGAAUUCCACGUGUGCGGUGAAAUGCGGUAAG
Molecule: ribosomal RNA, 674 nt
Filed under: Bacillus sp. (in: firmicutes)
Lineage: Bacteria; Bacillati; Bacillota; Bacilli; Caryophanales; Bacillaceae
Description: bacterial SSU rRNA
Rfam family: Bacterial small subunit ribosomal RNA
Source: RNAcentral